Molecule: long non-coding RNA, 1108 nt
Organism: Bombina bombina (fire-bellied toad)
Lineage: Eukaryota; Metazoa; Chordata; Amphibia; Anura; Bombinatoridae
Exons: 3
Source: RefSeq, a predicted model, not a curated record
AGUCAGAGUGUGAGUUCCCUAAAUCUUCAGCUUGAUCAGAGUGGUAACUAUACAGAAUAAAUUCUGACAACUGAAAUGAAGAAGUAUUUGGAAAAUAACAUGAAGCAGAAACUGCUGUUUGUUCUGGGAAUCUUUAUUCUGCUGAUGCUUUAUUCCAAUACAGGGAUAGCAAACCACAGGCUGAAGAUUCUCUAUUUCUUCACUUCAUAUGUGUGCCCUGCUCUGACUUCUACAUGCUGCUGUUUUGCCAACUCAACUCUGCUAAAAUUCUAAAAUUUGAGUUAUGGUCCCAGAUAAGUCACAAGGAAAAUUAAGAGCCGUCAAUAUGAUCACUUUGGAACUACUGUUGUCACAUUUACAAAUGACCUACCUAGCAUGGAAGUUCAGAAUGAGCUUGUGAGAAAGGAUCUCUGCGACACAAUGGAAGAGUCCUGACGGAUGCAAAAAUAAUCCAGAGGGAGAAUAAACUCAAGUCAAGUUCACAAAUUCAAGUCAAGCUAUAAGACACGGUUUUGGAGCUAUCAGACAAUUUAUUUAUGUGCACUUUCUUAAAGGGACAAUUUAGUAAAAUUAAACUUUCAUGAUUGAGAUAGGGCAUGCCAUUUAAAACAACUUUCCAAUUUACUUUUAUCAUCAAAUUUGUUUUCUUGGUAAUUUUUUGUUCAAAGCUAAACCAAAGUAGGCUCAUAUGCUAAUUUCAAAGCUCUUGAAGGCCUCCUCUUUUCUCAGUGCAUUUGGACAGUUUUUCACAGCUAGAGAGUACUAGUUCACAUGUACCAUAUAGAUAACAUUGCGAUCACUCCAGUGGAGUUAUUUAUGAACCAGCACUGAUUGGCUAAAAUUCAUGUCUGUCAAAAGAACUCAAAUAAAUAAGGGGGCAAAGCCUUAGAUACAAAGUAAUGAAAGAGGUAAAAAGUAUAUUAAUACGUGUUGGUUGUGCAAAACUGGGCAAUGGGUAAUAAAGGGAUUAUCUAUCUAAACAAUAACAUUUUGGAGUAGACUGUCCCUUUUAAGACUACCAAUAGCUGUACCAUACUUUUAUAGAAAUAAGAAAUGUGUGGACUGUUAGCUGUAUUACAUUUUUACAAUAAAAUUUUUUACUGUGGAA